This 73-nucleotide transfer RNA is filed under the name Rhizoprionodon acutus (milk shark). RNAcentral describes it as "tRNA-Asn". It matches the Rfam family "tRNA". From Rfam's summary of the family: Transfer RNA (tRNA) molecules are approximately 80 nucleotides in length. Their secondary structure includes four short double-helical elements and three loops (D, anti-codon, and T loops). Lineage: Eukaryota; Metazoa; Chordata; Chondrichthyes; Carcharhiniformes; Carcharhinidae. The record is from RNAcentral. RNAcentral also lists the same sequence under 3 other names.
UAGAUGGAAGUUCGUCGGAUAGAACACUUAGCUGUUAAUUAAGUAUUUGUAGGAUCAAGGCCUGCCUAUCUAG